ACCGUCCUCUUCUUUCGAUGAUGCCUCUGCGAUUUAAAUUUUUUAGAACUGAAAAACUUAUUGAAGCGUCUUACCAGUAGUGCUGUUAGGUAUUAAAAAAAAAAAAAAAAAAAAUUCAACAAGCCAUACCUGUCCACGUGCCCCUUCCCCCUUCUUUUCCUUUUUUCUUCCCUUCCCCCACCGAACCUUGCAACCCCUCCUUCUUCUCUUUUCCUUGCUUCUCGUCAACAGCAGAAAAGGAGAAAUCGCAGCAGCUCCUUUCUCUUCUCCGGUGGUGACGAAGGGUAGAUCCCUUCCCUUUCUUCUUCUCCAGAUUUGCGACCCUCUUCUCUCUUUUUCUCUUUUCCGACGGCAACAAGCUUCCUCUUCCUUGCUGCUGUCCUGCUUCUCGGCAACAUCGUCGGAGCUCCUCGGAGUGUGCCGGAGCUCGCCGGACCACUAGGAAAGGGGGGAAAAACAAAGCCCUAGUUGCUCUCUCCUUUUCCCCUCCAACAGCAGCACCUUGCUGCCUUUUGUUUCCUCCAACAGCAGCCCUAGCUGCUGCCCUUUUCUUGGCAGCACUGCCGGAGCUCGCCGGAGCUAGCUGAGGCGGCCAACGACGAAGGGAAAAUAACCCUAGUUGCUGUCCUCAUUUCCAGCAGCCACACAAAACCCUUAGAAGAUCCGAGCUCGAGUGGAGCACGGUGACCUGUCGAUACUCGGAGAUUUUUGCUGUAUAUAAGUUUUGCAGACACAGGGAUCCUUUUGAUAUUACUGUUGAUUUUGGACUUUCAU
Molecule: long non-coding RNA, 774 nt
Organism: Zingiber officinale
Lineage: Eukaryota; Viridiplantae; Streptophyta; Magnoliopsida; Zingiberales; Zingiberaceae
Exons: 3
Source: RefSeq, a predicted model, not a curated record